UUCUUUCUUUUCUUUCUUUCUUUUUUAUUUUUUUAUCCAGCCUGUUAGCAGGGUUAUGAGAAGAAGCUCAGAAAGGAACCCUGCCAGGGGCCGCCACCACCAGCAUGAGGUGCCCAGUCAUCCAAACUGGUGCAUUUCAAGCAAUUGGCUUGUGGGACUUUGAGAGAUGCUGCUGCCCGUGACAUGUUGGAAUUAUCAUGAUCAACUACUCGGUUUGGAUUUCACCCAGUGGCCAAGAGCUUUGUGUGAUAGACAGCAAGGUUUGGAUUUUUAAAAAGAGUAAACCAGGUAAGGUUUGAGGGAGACAUCUGAUCAUUUAUCACUUGCUCUAAGGGCUUUCAUGUGCUGCCAAGAUGUAUUGAAUAAUGUAUAGCUUUUCUAUUUGUUCU
RNAcentral lists this long non-coding RNA (389 nucleotides) under Ictidomys tridecemlineatus (thirteen-lined ground squirrel). Its description in RNAcentral is "lncRNA (ENSSTOG00000031810.1)". Lineage: Eukaryota; Metazoa; Chordata; Mammalia; Rodentia; Sciuridae. The record is from RNAcentral.